RNAcentral lists this long non-coding RNA (5245 nucleotides) under Salmo salar (Atlantic salmon). RNAcentral's name for it is "lncRNA (ENSSSAG00000117689.1)". Lineage: Eukaryota; Metazoa; Chordata; Actinopteri; Salmoniformes; Salmonidae. The record is from RNAcentral.
GUAUUCUUUCACACUAGCUGGCCUUAUGUUAUCUGCAGUUUCGAGGUGCACUGUCACACUCUGUGGUGGAUAACAUCCACUCUUCGUUUAUGUAAUGGGCUGUAAGACACAGGUAUCCUAUUUUUCGAAAAUCGUCAGUCCACAUGUCAAGUGUAAUUGCGCCAUUGCAUCAACCCCUACAAAUAUAUUCUAAUGUAUUAUAAUGCACAUAAUAAUUCAAAUAAAAUUUGCUGUAGCUAUAGGAGAGAGACUGCAUGCUAAAGACAAAUAGAAAUAAUGUGUCUUUAAGACUGCAUUAUAUGACUUAUGAAUGAGUCACUCAGCCCUAUGCUUCUGUUCCUGCUUCUGUUGCCUAUUUGAGUGUUUGUUUAAUAUCCUACUGAUUCUGUGGUCACCAAGCCCCAUGCAACCGUAAAAUGUUGGAUAAAGAACUUUCACAAAUCCGUCUGUUUUUAAACUUUGCUAUGCUGUAUUAAAGGCUUUGCGAUGUUUUUCAUUAGAACAGACUCUAUGCUAUUACUUCUACUUUAGUGUUAUUUACACUGUUCCAAACUGGCAGAUAGAUUACAAUAUAAUUUAACAGCACUUGCUUGUCAUGCAACAAUGAUUGUCUCUUGCACAAUGAUUUUACAUGAGGCCUAAUUCACAUGAUAUGCCUAAAAUACUUAUAUCCCCUAGGCUAAUAAAUAAAUCAUAUUUUUCCUUUCAAUUGUUUAAUUGCUCUAUAUCAUGAUAUUUCAAGUUUUCCCUUUGGAGCACAUGCAAAAGCGAUUUGGAGUUGUUGAGCGGGAGUGACAAAAUGUAUUACAAUUCCGUGCGCACACUCCAAAAAAUGUUUUUGUUUUUUCUACUUAGUCAGAAGAAGCUGUAAAUGGACCAUGUAACACGCAUAUAGACGCACAUACAAUAUUUGUUCAUCAACAUCUUUAUGUUUUCGUUAAUAAAAUAACGAUAAAAAAACACUUCCAAAUGUAGAUGUUUAUUUAAACUACUUCCCGCAAGCUCCACGACCACAGGUAAAACCUUGCUUAGAUUAUCAAUAAAUAAAUGGUGACUUCUGACUUGUUGCAUCUUACGGACAAUUUGGAGUAUUAUUGAUUACUGUGAAGGUCGGGUUUGGAUCAGUUUAUGUAGAUAUUUGUCGUAUCCUUCAGUGUUGCACCUGCAGGUCCAUUGGAUGUUUUGACUAUUUAUUCCAGAUUGAUUCCCCGAUAUAUAACAAACACGUAGCCUAUGCAAUGGGUAAGGUGCAAGCUAUAUAGACCUUUUUAUGUUGAGGGAAUCUCGUAUUCAUAAAUUGGCUCCAAAGCUGAUCAAAAAAGGCAAGAAUGGUCGUAAUUUUAAUUCGUCAAGCCGAUGAAAUACUUGAUUGCUGGUAAACAAUCGGCCUGAAAAAACGAAUUCUAGAGGUUAGUGUGCAUUUGCAUGGCAAAGGGAAAUGCAUGGCAAAGGGAAAUAUACGCAUUUUGGAAUUAUUUUCUGUAAUAAUGCAUUCAAAAAAGAUUUAUUGGGAAAAGAAAGCAAAAUGUGAAAAAUGCCUCAGAGCAAGAUGAGAUGCUUUUUAAGAACCAAUAUAAAGUGCUAGAAAAAGUGUGUCAAGACACUGGAGCACCGGGCCAAAUAGUGUCCCCCUCUGCGUCACAAUGGGAUUCGAUGAGUUCUAGCUUCUGUUGCUAGGGGUGUAAGAACAUAUUGUUAAAUAUGAAUGAAUAAUUUAAGCUGUUUUUAGAUUGACGUUGCUAGCUACUGUAUUUAUUUUUCUCAGCCUGCCUAGUCAGCUAGCUAGCUAGCCAGACAGUUUUAUUUAGCUAACGUUAGCUAGCUACUGUACCUGUUAUUGUAGCUUUCUGUUUGUAUGUAGCUUGCACUUCAAUGGCAUCCCUCGAUGAGAUUUUAUUUUAUCUUUCCAACCAGGUGAAGUACUCAGAAAAAACACCACUGAUCUCGAAAAGAGGCGUAACAUUCUGAGAAAUUCACAAUUCAGGGCAAUCAUAUCUACCUACGGGGGAAGGAUGGCCAGACACACAGGACGGUGAUUUCUACUAAGGAGGAGAGGAGGCCGUGCUGACCGAGAUGCAUGCUGGCCAUUUCGCAGUGAAGCGCAUGAUUGCCAAAAUCAACCUACGCUUCUUCUGACGGGGAAUUGUCAAGAAGGUGGACAGCUGGGCAAGUGAAAUAACCUUUUGUUUAUCAAUCACAGGGUUCAAUUCUCGGGCCGACUUUCUUCUCUGUAUACAUCAAUGAUGUCGCUCUUGCUGUUGGUGAUUCUCUGAUCCACCUCUACGCAGAUGACACCAUUCUGUAUACUUCUGGCUCUUCUUUGGACACUGUUAUCUAACCUCCAGACGAGCUUCAAUGCCAUACAACUCUCCUUCCGUGGCCUCCAACUGCUCUUAAAUGCAAGUAAAACUAAAUGCAUACUCUUCAACCGAUCGCUGCCCGCACCUGCCCGCCCGUCCAGCAUCACUACUCUGGACGGUUCUGACUUAGAAUAUGUGGACAACUACAAAUACCUAGGUGUCUGGUUAGACUGUAAACUCUCCUUCCAGACUCACAUUAAGCAUCUCCAAUUCAAAAUUAAAUCUAAAAUUGGCUUCCUAUUUUGCAACAAAGCAUCCUUCAUUCAUGCUGCCAAACAUACCCUUGUAAAACUGACCAUCCUAUCCAUCCUCGAUUUCGGCGAUGACAUUUACAAGAUAGCCUCCAACACUCUAUUCAACAAACUGGAUGCGGUCUAUCACAGUGCCAUCCAUUUUGUCACCAAAGCCCCAUAUACUACCCACCACUGCGACCUGUACGCUCUCGUUGGCUGGCCCUUGCUUCAUACUCGUCGCCAAACCCACUGGCUACAGGUCAUCUACAAGUCUUUGCUAGGUAAAGCCCCGCCUUAUCUCAGCUCACUGGUCACCAUAGCAGCACCCACCCGUAGCACACUCUCCAGCAGGUAUAUUUCACUGGUCACCUCCAAAGCCAAUUCCUCCGUUGGCCGCCUUUCUUUCCAGUUCUCUGCUGCCAAUGACUGGAACGAACUGCAAAAAUCACUGAAGCUGGAGACUCAUCUCCCUCACUAGCUUUAAGCACCAGCUGUCAGAGCAGCUCACAGAUCACUGCACCUGUACAUAGCCCAUCUGUAAAUAGCACAGCAUAGCCCAAUAUCAUACUGUAUUUAUUUAUUUAUUUAUCUUGCUCCUUUGCACCCCAGUAUCUCUACUUGCACAUUCAUCUUUUGCACAUCUAUCACUCCAGUGUUUAAUUGCUAUAUUGUAAUUACUUCGCCACCAUGGCCUAUUUAUUGCCUUACCUCCCUUACCUCAUUUGCACACACUGUAUAUAGACUUUUUCUACUGUAUUAUUGACUGUAUUUUUGUUUAUUCCAUGUGUAACUCUGUUGUAUGUGUCGAACUGCUUUGCUUUAUCUUGGCCAGGUCGCAGUUGUAAAUGAGAACUUGUUCUCAACUAGCCCACCUUGUUAAAUGAAGAUCAGUACACUGUGUAGCCUGCCAGAAGUUUGAGAGGGCGAAGACUGUGGCGCCGGAGUUGAAGCCCAUCAAAGUUGUUUCACCAUGGCACAUGAUCGGUAAGUGUCCCAAUUCAAAUUUUGCCCUGAUAAGUUGGUUUGUAAUGUUUGCUUUAUUUGACAGGAGAGUUCAAUAUUAUAGAAUGUGUAUGUGUGUGUCAGUAUCCUUGCAAAUAUGAAAAGCUGCAUACUGUAUGACACAGAUACGGUAAGAAUAAAGUAAUCUUCUCUCUAAAACUUAAAAUGUUAUGGGUGGACCUCAUCGGACCCUUCACGAAAUCCAGGAAUGGCAACAGCUGGUGUCUGACGGUGACCGAUCACUUUACCAAGUGGGUGGAGGCAAUACCCAUUAAGAUCAGUAAAGGAAGAGUAUGUUCUUAACUCGGAAUUCCCUUCUGUAACCCAUUAAAAAGGGUGGUUGGAACAAAUAAAUAUAUUUUCGUUUUGUAUGAUACCUAUCAAGGACGAGACUGGCAAGGCCACCUCCAAGGCGAUGGUGGACAUCUGCAACACACAUGGUUCUCCUGAGGUCAUCUUGAGUGACCGAGGUCAUGAGCGCUGGAACAAGGUUUGGUGAAUGGACCAUCCAGACCCUCAAGGCUGCCAUGGACAAGUCCCUUGAUUGGUACCUGGAAGAGUGGGAGAAAAACCUGAAAGUAAUUCUCUUUGCACACAACAGCAGCAUCCAGGCCUCCACAAACAAAGAUAACUGAAACCCCACUUGAUGUGAUGGAAGUUGUCGAACCAGAUCUGAAUGCCUUCGAGGUCCAGUUCAGGCAUGGACUGAGAAGGAUGUGGUUUUUGACCAGGUGAGACUGAACAUGGACAAGGCGCAGGAAAAACAGAAGGAGAGCUACCGAAGCAGAAUCAAGAAGGGGACCAAGUGCUACGACAUCCGGGCAAUUUACUUGGCUUGGAAGAAGGACGAAAGGAAGGCGAGACCUGGGAAACCUCGCUGUUUUUUCGCUCCUAGCUGGGGUCACCAUCUGUUAAAGGUUACCUCAGCGGAAGUCAACAAUCUUCUACAGUUGGAGCAGUUUGACGGUCGACCACUGAAAGCAGUGACGCCCUACACUUCAGUGAAGCCCAAUAGACAAAGACCAUCGACUGUCCGAGCCCCCCCAGGAGGUAUCCCAUCCACCAGAACCAGUGAGUCCGGAUCAGUCUGAUUCUCUGUGCGCUGAGUCGGAGGGGGACCAGCUUGAGGAGCUGGAGGUUCUGCCCAACACCCAGACAUGGAUCCACCUGAUGUCCUCCAUUACCAACCACCCUCCAACUUUUCAUUAAAUAUUCUACAGCUACUGAUGUUGUCAUUAUCUGCUAAGAAAGUGAGAUAAUAUAUGAGAUAAAUCAAAUCGUAUUGGUCACAUACACGUGUUUAGCAGAUGUUAUUGAGGGUGUAGUGAAAUGCCUGAGUUUCUAGCUCCGACAGUGCAGUAAUAUCUAACAAGUAACAUCUAACAAUUUCACAACAUAUACACACAAAUCUAAGUAAAGGAAUGGAAUUAAGAAUAUAUAAAUGUAUGGAUGAGCAAUGUCAGUGGCAUAGACUAAGAUUCAGUAGAAUGGUAUAGAAUACAGUAUAUACAUAUGAGAUGGGUAAUGCAAGAUAUGUAAACAUUACAUUUUACAUUUUACAUUUAAGUCAUUUAGCAGACGCUCUUAUCCAGAGCGACUUACAAAAUGGUGCAUUCACCUUAUGAUAUCCAGUGGAACAACCACUUUACA